Molecule: ribosomal RNA, 482 nt
Filed under: uncultured bacterium
Lineage: Bacteria
Description: bacterial SSU rRNA
Rfam family: Bacterial small subunit ribosomal RNA
Source: RNAcentral
CUGGCUCAGGACGAACGCUGGCGGCGUGCCUAACACAUGCAAGUCGAGCGAGGAGAUCCUUCGGGAUGAUCCUAGCGGCGGACGGGUGAGUAACACGUGGGCAACCUGCCUCAUAGAGAGGAAUAGCCUUCCGAAAGGGAGAUUAAUACCUCAUAACAUUGCAGUUUCGCAUGGAACAGCAAUUAAAGGAGCAAUCCACUAUGAGAUGGGCCCGCGGCGCAUUAGCUAGUUGGUGAGGUAACGGCUCACCAAGGCGACGAUGCGUAGCCGACCUGAGAGGGUGAUCGGCCACAUUGGGACUGAGACACGGCCCAGACUCCUACGGGAGGCAGCAGUGGGGAAUAUUGCACAAUGGGGGAAACCCUGAUGCAAGCAACGCCGCGUGAGUGAUGACGGCCUUCGGGUUGUAAAGCUCUGUCUUCAGGGACGAUAAUGACGGUACCUGAGGAGGAAGCCACGGCUAACUACGUGCCAGCAGCCGC